ACUCUUCGCAUGAGGUGGCCAAAGUACUGGAGUUUCAGCUUUAGCAUCAUUCCUUCCAAAGAAAUCCCAGGGCUGAUCUCCUUCAGAAUGAAGUGGUUGGAUCUCCUUAGACCCUUAUUUAUUGAAAUGUAAAGCUGUUAGCAUAUUAUUGAAAGAAGUUUGGUACUAUCCCCUUUAUUCAAAAUAUUACAUAUAUAUACUUAUUUAUACAAGAUAUGUCUAGAGAGAUAUACGUUAGAAGGUUAGCAGUGUUUUUCUCUGGAUCAUAAGAUUUCCCAUGCAUUGUUCUGUAUUGCUUCAGUUUUUAGACUUUUUAAAACAUUGUUGCCAAAACAAUCACAUUUCCAAGUGAAAUAUGUAAAAUAAAUUGAGAAAAGCAACCAAAGAGGGAGAGAGAAGAGAAAAAUGGGAAUAAGAGAAAGUUGUAUUCAAAUGAAGCUGUGGAAUUUUAUUUCGCAGAGGGACUGAGUGAUGACACAGAGGGGUCAAGUCACUGGGGAGAAAAAAGAAAGCUUCUUACAAUUUUCAAGACAAAAGGUCACACCACACAGUGCAGGGCAGCAUGAGGAAACGCCAGGCUUAGUCCAGAGGCAGUGGGGAGAAAGCAUAGCCCAGAGCAUUUAUUGGGUUUUCUGUGGCUAGAGCAGGCCAGGGGAAACAGUUCAGGAUUCGCUGUAGGGAUAAUGUUGGUGGGCUGUGGGAUACAGCAGUGGUUAUCUGGUGCCUGGCCCUGUGUUGAUUUAGGGCAGAGGGAAUAUUUGCUUGGUGUGUGAAAGUGAAAUGAAGGAGGUGGCUGGGUGUAUGGGCAUGAAAUUGGUUGGUUUGCAUGUGAAAAAUGUGUUUGCAGGCAAGUUGCUUUUUAUCUCUAGGAAUUAGCCAACCCUGGGAGGGGCUGUCAAAACAUCAUAAAAUUUAAAACCAUGAUUAAUGCAGGAGGGAUAGAAUGGAAGAAAGGAGAGAUAAUGGAAGAAAGGAGAGAGAAUAGUUAUUUGGGCAAGGCCUUUUGAAGGUGGAGGUGAUGGUCUGAGGAUUACUGGAGGGUCUUGUUAUGCCCUGAAGGAGAAGCGGUGCUUCCUUUAAAGGACGUGGCUUCCUUGGGAGACCAGCAGAUGAUACAAGAACCUAUGUUGACUGCAAUACGGACCACUCUCCACCAUCAUGGUUGACUUUGAAUCAGGCCCACCAGGCUGUGCUCUCCCAAAAGACUGGGACCUUCAAGUUGCGACACUCUUCAUGUCUAGCAAGGUACCUGCUACCCAAUAAUGUUUUCUGAACAUGGAAGUCAGCAGUGAACAACCAAUGGACUUAAUGAACUUGCAAGAGCAUGAGAGACAUUCUAGCUCUUAGAAUCCUGUGGGUGCGGACAGCUGCGAAGGAUGAAGCAUUUGGGGUGCAUUUUGGGCCAGAUUCAUGUGUAAAGGGGCCUUCCAUGUUCCAGCCAGAUCCCUUCCUCCAGGCCUGUGAAUACACAGCAAGGGCGAUGAUGACACUGACUCACUUGGAACGUGAGGCGUAGGGGAGGCUCGUCAGGGGCCGAGGGCCAGCGACGGAUGAGGAGGAGACACCUGCCCCAGCUGUUGCUCGUUCUCUUUGUUUCCCACUACUCCUGCCCUGGAGCUGGUCUGUCCCAACCUUCAUUUUGCCCUCUCUGGCCAAGACCGAUGGUCCCCUAGGCACUCUCCUUUCCUUUCACCUCUGCAAGGCUCGGGUGAGAGUCACUUUUUGCCUCUUUUCCAUGCAGCCAAGUCCCUGAGGCCUUAGUCAGCCUGCGUGGGUGUUGUUUAUCCCCUCAUCCAUCUCCCGAUUCAGGACACAGUCUAUUAAGUGAAACACAGUGGAGUAGAGACGGCGGCUGCGGAUGGUGUGUUUUCUUUCCUUCACACCUCUCUCCUCUUAACCUCUGAUCUCUUUGGCCUUUUCCUCCAGAUUUCUUGCCACAGACCUCUCAUCAUGUAUCUUUCUUUCCCUGGAUGCUCUCGGAGAGUUCUGAGCUGGGAAUAUGUCUCGGGGCAAUGACCGUGCAUCCCGUCCUUUUGUUAUGACUGACCGCUGAGGGGCAUGACCCUCUUUCUCCUCCUGAGCUAUGUAUCCCCAGAGAUUCCUAAACAUUUCUGAGCCUCGGGGUACUAAUUCAUAAAAUGGGAUCACAAAGGCUGUCUUUAGAGCAGGCUGGUUGUGAGUGUAGAGAAACACAGUGUAGAGAAAGUAGACUGAAAGGUCUUAGUAACUGUACUUCAGGCUGAGAAGAUAGAGCAUAUAUUUUCACUAUUUGCAGGUCCUGGAGAGAAGAGGCAAGCUUGUUCUCUUCCACUUACCACUGUAGAUGCUACUUUUAUCUUUUCUUUCUUCUCUCUUUCUGUUCCCUUUCCACUUCUAGCCAUCCUUCAGGUGGUCUUUGAGGUUGACCACUGUACGCUCUGCAGAGGGUACUUUGCGUUCUCUUCCUCUCUUCUGCAAGCCAGGCUACCGGCAGUGAUGGGUGAAAUCCAGAGACCAGGAGUAGCCACCCACCCCACCCCAACUCCCACACACUGCAGUGACCCUGAGGGCUAACGUCCCUCCAGGGAAGUCCCUGGAGGCUUCCCUCUAGGGAAGCCAAUGAGAGGCAGCGGAGAGAACUGCUGAUCUCAAAGUUCUUUUAGCUGCAAUGAUUUACUCACUCAAUCUGUUUUCCUAAACAAUUCUCUGAUCCUUCCUUUUCUUCCUUCCUUGGGUGCUUGACAGGGCAGAGUCCUGACCUGUAUGCCCAACAGGACAGGACCAUGUUUCCCACCCAGUGGUGCCCCCUGGGCUCCUGUGUUUUGUCCAACACAGGACAAAGUGGACUUCAGGGCUCCAGGACAGAGUGGACUUUGAAAACUUGUCUGAAUGGCAGACUCUGUGACCCACGGGUAAUCGGGAAAGUGAUAUGCAUGGAUGACAGAGUUGGGGGUAAGUGGAAGGGCAACACAUCUCUACUCUGAGCCAAGCUUGUUGUCGGUCAUGCUAUUCCUCUUUCCCAGCGUGGCUCUUGCUUUCUGGAGCACCAGGACUCCAUGUUACCCAGAGAGGCCACGUACUUGGGAACCUCAUCCAGCAUUGUGCUUCUAGGGCAUUCCAAGGAGAACGAAGCUUUGCCUACAUCAUCCCUGUCCUGACUUUUCCACCAAUAAAAUGGUGACCUACAAAUGAAAAUAUAUCCAGAAUUUUCCGAAGCCAAGUACCAGAGCAUACGUUUUCUGUGGUCCCUAAAAUCCAAGCCCUCGGCCAUUUCAGGCUGAAGACGGUCGGGGUGGGGAAGAAACACUUGUGGGUAGGGAAAUCCCUGGCUUGUAGCCCCUAAAAUUCCAACAGUAUGCCUUCAUGAUGGACUCUUUUUUCCUGUUUGGCACAUUGCCAAUUCCUCCAGGUAUUUUCUUUAAAUAAAUUAUGAGAAAAAUUCACCAAGCAAAUUUUAACAACUAGAUAUUGAAUCCUUAGUGUGUUUGAAAGCAAGUGUUUUAAAUCAAGGCUUUGAGUGGAUAAUGGUUUAUAGACUCACCUUUUCCCCACUUGCCUUUCGAUUUCCUAUGAAAAGCUGGGAAAGUAAACAUCAGCAUAUUCAUUUAAUUUCCCUUUGGCUCACCAAGCCUUGUUUCUAGAAAUAUCUUAGAUUUCCUCUGACAACUCUGCUAUCUUUCUAUUUCGCUAAUCUGACAUCAUCCCUGAUUGUCCCCCCUUAGCAGUCUCGGUUUACAUAAUUACAUUUUCAAUUUGUCUGUACCAGUAUCUGAACUCCUCUUGGGAUAGUUUUUUGACUGUUUGUAUAAGAUGAGGAUGAUGAUGGUGAUAGUGUGGGGGGUGAGGAAGUGAGGGAAUUUUGUCCUUUUUAAAUUCUGCUUUUCAACCCAGGAGCACCUGUGAACCUGUUCAUUUGCUUGGCAUGCUCACUCACUGCUACAUAAAUUUACAUGACUUAUAAGUAAAUCUAUGAGUUGCUAUAUGUUGGGUAUUCAUGCAGCCUCCAGAUUCUUCCUCAGGAUCCUCCUUCUCCACCUCCAUUUAUCUUUUCAGAAAGUAGAAGUCUCUCGCAUUCCUGGUUCAAGCAGUUCUGUCUUCUAGAAGACAGUGCCACUUCUGGGAGCCAAGUUUUUCCUCACAAAUCCUCAUCUGUAGUCAAACGGUGGGAUAGGAUGGUAUCUGAGGCCCUUGUAUAAACCAGUGAAAGAUUAAUUGAGAUUGUAACACCUGGACUGAGCUGAUGUCAGGAAGGGCCAAGAAACAACCAAGAUCUAACAGACCUCUGCUUUAGAGUCACAAAUGGCUUGGGUGGAAAACCACUAGAGAACAGAGAAAGAGGAUUAGAAUUUAAGUGAAGCAUUAAAAUACCCCUCAAGACUUCAUCUCUCUGUUUCUCAAUGCUCUUGAUUGUGUCCUUGGAAUCUAGAGUGGUGUGGCCUGUGUUCACUGAUGUAAAUUGUACAGUGUGAAUGACUAUGGCACCAUAUUGGGGAGGCAUCACAUAUCCUGACAACAGCCCUUGUUGCUGUUCAUGUGAUAUUUCUAUAGAAUUUUGUGUCCAUGGCUUUUGAGGAUCUGGCCUUUCUGUGAAAGAUAGAGAAUUAAUCAAUAAAUGGCAGGGUACCCAUUUUGCAAUGUGGGCAAAUAUCCACCUGGAGGUAGGGAAAACACACACACACACACACACACACACACACACAGACACACUCCCUUCUGCUAAUAGGAAAAAACACAUUCUCCUCUACUUUCCAGGUGGCACAGUGGUAAAGAAUCUGUUUGUCAGUGCAGGAGACGCAGUUUCAAUCCCUGGUUGGGAAGAUCCCCUGGAGUAAGAAAUGACACUCCCACUCCAGUAUCUUGCCUGGAAAAUUCCAUGGACAGAGGAUCUUGGUGGGCUACAGUCUAUGGGGUUGCAAAGAGUCAGACAUGACUGAGCCGCUGAGCGCGCGUGCACACACACACACACACACUGCUAACAACAUCCUGCCCUCACUCAAGCAAUGUUUGGAUUAAAGAACUGCAAAGCUAGUCUCUAGAUACCCUAAGCCUGUCGUUAGCCUUACCCAUUGGUCUGGAAUCCUCCUUGUUCAUGUUGUAUCUGCUGUAGAUGUGUGGAGAAAGAGGCAAACACUGAUCUUUUGUAUACCAGGUCAUAGCUGAGGGUGGCCUAUGGAUGGAAUAGCUGCUUCAGCCUGUAGUGUUUGGUACAUUUGUAUCCUAGACAUCAGCCAACCAAAAUCUUCUAUCAUCUCUGAGUCUGAAAAUUGAAAAUAUUUGUUUAGAGUAUGGCAAAUACAGGACCAUACUUAAAUCAUUUCUGUACCCUGACAGUGACCAGCACAGAACUUUGCAGGAAAUCAUGUUAGUUUUGAUGAUCAUGGUAAAGCUAAACAAUGCAAAAUAGUAAAAUGUUUUUCAAAAUGGAUUCUAUAAAUAGAAAGUUUUAUGAAGCUAGCUAUUUUGCUUUAUUUGUAUCUUACAACCACGUUACAGGAAUCAAGAAUUUCAAUGCUAUAGUAUGGAAAGCAGAGACUAUGUUUUAUUCGUCACUGCAUUUCCAGGCUUUAUCAUAGGCCCUGGCAAGAAAUAUACAAUUUCUGUUAUGAUUGUACACUUACUUUGUGCACAGAAAGAUUUAUUAAGCAUUGAUUGCAAAGCAGCAAGGCUGCCACUUGUAGGACCAAAGAGACUGCACUGUAUUAAUAUAAGAUAAGGAGCUGCUUUUAACAUUUAAUACAAUGUGAGCAGCAUCCCCUGACUGGGUGUUUAACUAUAUCUUGCUGUCCUUGAGAAGCAGUAAGAGUCAAGUUUCUCCUCUCUUGCAACUUGCAGUUUUAAAAAGAAAGACAAAAGAUAAACUCAUUAACAAAUAAGUUAAUUCUAUAAAUUCAUGUAAUGAAAAGUUUUCCCAAAAAAGGAAAAUAGGAUGCUAGCAUUAAUAGCAAUGGAUGCUGAGGGAGAGGCUAUUUAGCUACUAGGGUCUGAAAAGGUCUUUCUUGAGGAGGAGAAUCUAGAGUUGAGACUCAGAUGAUUAUAAAGAGGUAAGCAUACAUUCCCUGGAGGAGGAAACGGCAAACCACUCCAGUAUUCUUGCCUGGGAAAUCCCAUGGAGGAGAAGCCUGGCUGUCUAUAGUCCAUGGGGUCUCAAAGAAUUGGAAAUGACUGAGUGACUGAGCACACUAGGCUACGUUAGCUUGUUUCAUCUGACAUCAACCCUAUUGAGUAAUAUUAACCCCAUUUGGGGGGAGAGUGAAAUAAAUUGGGAUAUUGGGAUUGACAUAUAUAAACUGAAGAUAUUGUGUGAAUAAGAGACAACUAAUGAGAAUCUACCUGUACAGCACAGGAAAUUCAUUUCAAUGUUCAUGCAUGCUUAUGUGAGUAUUCAGUCACGUCUGACUCUUUGUGACCCCAUAGGGGUCAUCUGUUCAUGGGAUUUUCCAGGCAAGAAUCCUGGAGUGAGUUGUCAUGCUCUUCUCCAAGGGAUCUUCAUGACCCAGGGAUC
This is a long non-coding RNA of Bubalus bubalis (water buffalo), 6481 nucleotides long. RefSeq lists it as uncharacterized. The record is from RefSeq and is a predicted model, not a curated record. NCBI's taxonomy places the organism in Eukaryota, Metazoa, Chordata, Mammalia, Artiodactyla, Bovidae. The transcript is spliced from 3 exons.